GACGAACGCUGGCGGCGUGCCUAAUACAUGCAAGUUGAGCGCUGACGGUUGUUACUUGUACCAACUGGAUGAGCAGCGAACGGGUGAGUAACGCGUGGGGAAUCUGCCUUUGAGCGGGGGACAACAUUUGUAAACGAAUGCUAAUACCGCAUAAAAACUUUAAACACAAGUUUUAAGUUUUAAAGAUGCAAUUGCAUCACUCAAAGAUGAUCCCGCGUUGUAUUAGCUAGUUGGUGAGGUAAAGGCUCACCAAGGCGAUGAUACAUAGCCGACCUGAGAGGGUGAUCGGCCACAUUGGGACUGAGACACGGCCCAAACUCCUACGGGAGGCAGCAGUAGGGAAUCUUCGGCAAUGGACGAAAGUCUGACCGAGCAACGCCGCGUGAGUGAAGAAGGUUUUCGGAUCGUAAAACUCUGUUGGUAGAGAAGAACGUUGGUGAGAGUGGAAAGCUCAUCAAGUGACGGUAACUACCCAGAAAGGGACGGCUAACUACGUG
Molecule: ribosomal RNA, 497 nt
Filed under: uncultured bacterium
Lineage: Bacteria
Description: partial 16S ribosomal RNA
Rfam family: Bacterial small subunit ribosomal RNA
Source: RNAcentral